Molecule: unclassified non-coding RNA, 337 nt
Filed under: fungal sp.
Lineage: Eukaryota; Fungi
Description: partial internal transcribed spacer region
Rfam family: Eukaryotic small subunit ribosomal RNA (bases 1-46)
Source: RNAcentral
AAGUCGUAACAAGGUAACCGUAGGUGAACCUGCGGUUGGAUCAUUACAAAUUCUCUCAAUUGUUCUUUUUCGCAUGCAAAGCCUCUUCGAGAUUGCUGCGAACUGAAUGAAUGAAGAAACUAAAAUGUGCACCUGUAUUUGUACGUUGGCGGUUUGUUCAGUGCUUUGUGCUGGACCUGCAUUAAAAAUUGCAAAAGGCCGUCAAUAGUGUUUUCACAAAAAAACGCUUUAAAAAUAUUCCAAAAAUCAGCUUAUGCUAUUUUUUAUAUGUAUAUAUUUCAACUCUUAUUCUCUUGAAAACCAAGAACAACUAUUAACAAUGGAUCUCUUGGCUCUC